RNAcentral lists this long non-coding RNA (1267 nucleotides) under Equus caballus (horse). RNAcentral describes it as "lncRNA (ENSECAG00000033674.2)". The record is from RNAcentral. Lineage: Eukaryota; Metazoa; Chordata; Mammalia; Perissodactyla; Equidae.
GGGAGCGCCGUCUGUGCCUCGCUGCCUGGAGUUUAUGCCCUGCCAUUAAUCCUUAAGGUCUGAUUCCAGCAAGCCCUCCAGACAUCACCAAAGCUGAGAAAAUCCUCUCGCCACCGUUUCUCUUCAAAAAGUCUAAGAAAGCUGAAAGCCCAACAGAGUAUAGCUGCCACCACCCACUCUAGACAUCACGGUGAGACUGUGAUGGCCAUAAGAUGGAUCUAAUGAUCGGAGGACCAGGAAGUGCUCGACUCUUUCCCAGCCUCCCAGUGCCUCACAGAAAAGAUCUCAGAGAUGGCAGAAGUGGUCUAUGUACAUGUGUAUGUGUUUUUGAUCACCUUUCCACGCAGAAAGCAUUGACUUCCCCUGAGUUAUUUUGAGCCGAUGGAUGUGUGUGGUGCUUGCCCAGGCCUAAGGUUCUCAGGACCAUCACUGAGAAGAACUUAUGAAGACCAGAAAAGCUCUCUGUAGACCUUGGUCCUCGGAAAGGGAACAGGUGCCGGGCCUGUUGAACGUGGAGCCCAUGUCAAAGGAACUGCAACAGGAAGAGCUGUGCCACCAUCGUUCUAAUAGCUGCUACUUGCUUUUCAAAACUUUCAAUCUAUUAUCCUACUACUUGUGUAGCAAGGCCAAUAAGAAGAGUUGCUUUUACGUUGAGCCUAACAAAUGCAGAGUUUCCCGAAGUCCGGGCCACGGAACACCAGUCACGUGGCAUCCUCUAGAAAAAGCAUGCUGAGUGCUCAGGAGAGUUUGGAGAACACUCUACCCACCUCGAAUGCAUUUAGGAAAGUCUCAGAAUCAGGCAAGAAAGAAACAUAUUCAUUUUUUAAAUCCCAAUAUUCCCCAAACUGGUUAGACCAUUCACAAUACCAAUGAACAUCUCACAGAACUUGAGAUUCAUGGAAAUGUCACCCAAGGAGCCCCAACGGCUCUUCUGAAUAAAAAGAAAAGGUAGCAUUAUCACAGAUGGUCAUUGCUUUAUAAUCCUUUGAAAAGUGCUGAUACAAACAUGAGGGUUAACUAGAGUGCUGGAUUAACCGGUCUCCCGCAGCCUUUGAUCAGGAUAACCAGUGGCAGUCGUGGGGUACAGAGCAGCACAGGAAGAAAAUACGAGUUAGGUCAAAGAAGGUUUAGGUAAGGUCUUGAGUGACGAGUUGAAUUUUUACAACUAUAGACACAAAGAAGAAGUUAGGGAUAUUUGGGACAUAUUGUAAAUCUUUUGAGGAAAAAUCCUAGUCUUCUCCUAGACUGUUCUUAACCACUCUUUUUG